GUGCUUGCUUCGGCAGCACAUGUACUAAAAUUGCAACGACACAGAGACGAUUAGCAUGGCCCUGUGCAAAGAUGACAUGCAAAUUUGUGAAGCAUCACAUGAAAAA
Molecule: small nuclear RNA, 106 nt
Filed under: Pan paniscus (pygmy chimpanzee)
Lineage: Eukaryota; Metazoa; Chordata; Mammalia; Primates; Hominidae
Source: RNAcentral